Molecule: transfer RNA, 72 nt
Filed under: Trichoderma reesei QM6a
Lineage: Eukaryota; Fungi; Ascomycota; Sordariomycetes; Hypocreales; Hypocreaceae
Also listed under: 3 other names
Description: tRNA-Ala (TGC) (tRNA-Ala-TGC-2-1)
Rfam family: tRNA
About the family: Transfer RNA (tRNA) molecules are approximately 80 nucleotides in length.
Source: RNAcentral
GGGGAUAUGGUGUAGGGGUAUCACGUUUGCUUUGCAUGUAAAAGGUCGGGGGUUCAAAUCCCUCUGUCUCCA